This 71-nucleotide transfer RNA is filed under the name Gymnopis multiplicata. Its description in RNAcentral is "tRNA-Asp". Lineage: Eukaryota; Metazoa; Chordata; Amphibia; Gymnophiona; Dermophiidae. The record is from RNAcentral.
AAGAUGUUAGUAAAUAUACAUUACAUUGUCUUGUCAAGACAAUAUAAUAAGACAAACCCUUAUACAUCUUA